Non-coding RNA from Sesamum indicum (sesame), 674 nucleotides. The record is from RefSeq and is a predicted model, not a curated record. NCBI's taxonomy places the organism in Eukaryota, Viridiplantae, Streptophyta, Magnoliopsida, Lamiales, Pedaliaceae.
GUUUUUCUUCCUCCUUCUUUCUCACUUGUGUUUCUUUUCCAUUCCUUCUCCUCUCUCAUUUCUUCCCCAAAUCCAUCUCGUAGAACCCUAACUCCAAACUCACGGCAACAAGGACAGCAGGUCGACAACGAGGACGGGGACGAGUACGGCUUCCAUCUUUCUCCUCUCAUUUUUUCUACAAACCCAUCUCUUAGAACCCUAGCCCCAAACUCACGGGAACAAGGACGGUAAAUCGGCAACGAGGAAGGCGACGAGUACGGAUUCUCCAGUUGCCAGGUUUUUGCUUGUUGAAGAAUCUUGGUGCUGCAAGCUUUGGGCUGAAACUUUAUUACCAGUGUUGGUUCGCGGGUUGUGUGAUACUAAGAUCUGAAGAGAGCUGGAAAGUUUGUUCUUUUUUUAGUUUUUCGACUUGCAAAUUUCUUGAAUACAAUUUCUUUUGGUUCUAAGCGUUCUUUUCUUUCCUAUUUUAGUUGUUGGAGCGAAUUGCUGUGAAUUCUGAGCUUAAGCUAAUAUAGUUUUUGGGGGUUUAUGCUGAAACGUGGUGGCCAUUUAGUUGAUGGGUUGGCCUGUGAGUUUCUUGAUUGCAUUUUUCUGUAUGUGGGGCAAUUGGUGAAGAAGAUCUAGAACUGAUGAUGAUAAAACCUUUCAUUAAAUGACUAUCUUAUUCUUCAUUA